UGUCCCUGCCACUCUGCAGCUCCCCUAGGUCUUGUGGGGCCCGUGCCUCCCGGCUGGCUGCUCUGGUCUUAGAAACUCACCGGAGAGAAAAUGGUGGCUCUCACCAGAGUCCAACCAUGCUUUCUUGAUUCACAGAAUGCUAUGGUAUCCUUUAAGUUUUCGAAGUCUCUCUGGAGAACUCAAUCUGUCUGUAUUUAGCGCUUCCUGUGGAAGAUGCCACUGAAAAGCCAUGUGCUUUUAUUAUUUUCAUUGCAUGCUUUUACAGUUCUGUUUGGUAUUAGUGAACAUUCAUGAAGAUCAACUUAAGUCUAUACAUGCAAAAUGUAUUCACAAAAGUGUCAAUGCUCUUGUCCCAAGCUAUUAUGCCCCAAGCCCUUGCUCCAACCCUACAAGUUAUCUCAUUCUCAAGAUUUGUUCUGUCUAUCUAGUAUUUGCUCAGUGGCAUUUGGCCCAUGUUUCCCGGGGAUGCUUUCUUCUGGUUUCUAGCAAUGACCCUGCUGCUUUUAGCUGGCAGACUAUCUCUUUUUCUCAGGUGGUUAUUGAGUAGACCAUCUCCCUUGUCUUGUCUCAUGUACAGUUACCAUUAUAAAACAGCUUGCAAGAAGGUGUUGAAAAGACCACUUGCAAAAUUGUAUUUAUGGGCUUAAUUGUCUAGGUUACUCUUAGCAUGAGAAUGAGGUGGAUCAAGAGAAACAUAGUAAGCUGCUAAAUCCUAUCAAACUCCCAGUGAUGUGUUCAAAUGUGUGAUGCUUAAGCUUUGGAGAACCCGUCUGGUACUUGGGAGGCUAAAUGGUACUUUUUAAAAUGCUAAGUUCAGGCCUAGCCAUGCAGAGUCCAAAGAAUUCCACUUUAGGUUUUAGGUUUACCCAGGGCCGAAAGACAAAUCUACAAAUAGCCUUUGGCAUUCCCGCAAACAUGUAAAACCAGAUGCUACUACUAGAUGUCAUGAAUGAUCCUUGUAGUUUACUUGUCAUCCUUUAGGCUUUUAGCUUCCUUUUUUUGUCAUGUGCACUUGUGGCCUCUUUGACUAUACCAUGCUCCCUUCUUUGCAGUACCAGCUUUCCCCAGAAAUCUGGGAAGUAACAAAGGCUGGAUGAUGUUUCAGUGAGGGGUCUGCUGGUGUAUGCCCUAAACAGAAACUGAGUGAAUUGUGGGGUUUUCCUGAGUUCAAAGUACCUGAGAAGAAUGAGGAAGGACAGGUACAUACAGUCUCAAGUCAGUGGUCAUGCUUUAUCUAUACACUCCUCUACGGUGGACAACAACACAGGAUAGGAAUUUGACACUUAGUUUUCUUGCUUCUCACUACACUCUCAUAGCCUUUCAACUUAAACAACGUUUGUAUGGUCAAAGAUGCAGUCUAGUGUGUCUUAAAUUCCAAGUGAUUGGUUGGUAGAUGAGUUAGGAUGAUCAAUGCAUACUGUUUUGUAGACCAUUCCAUGCCACCAUUUUGAUCCCUGCCUUUGGUAUCACCAUGUCAUGUGAUCCCUCCAGAAUUCAUCUCAACAUUUAUCAUCAUGAAUAAACUUUCAAACCAGCUCUGAGAUUUCAUUUCCCAGAAAAUAGAAUAUCUUUGAAAGGCAAUAACAUCUCUGGACUCUUCUAAGCCAAUCCUGGUGGAUGGCAGAGUUCUGUCAGUAAUUGGAACAACGAUUCUCUGCUGGUCCAUGAUGAGCAGAUUCCAGACACCUUUGAUCAAAAUAUAAUGGGAUGAUCUCGACUGUUUGGCUGUUAAUUAUGGAAGAAGAAACAUUUGUCCAUCAACUUCAAGCCUGGAUGUGUUCGUAUUUGCGUCCCAGCCCUUGAACUCUUGUGUCUCCAAGAGAAAACUUUUGGUGGGGUUGCUGCAGGAUCUACAUGUGGAUCUCUUUGCUUGCCCUCUGUGCAUGGAUAACACAGCCCCAUUGCUGGGAGGAGAACAAAGGCCUGGAGAUGUCAUGCUGUCCACCAGUUCAGACAGUGCAGAAAAGCAGGCAACCUACACCAGAACUUCUGAGUGCUAGAACCCUGUCAGUUUCCACAGGGUAUCUAGGAUGCCUCUGUACAGGCCAUAUGGCAGAAAUUAACUCUUUCCUGAAGAGCCUGACUGACAUAGUGGAGAGAGAGCCCACAAACUCCCUGUCGCAGUCUCCUUCAGAUCUUCCAUGUCUCCAUGGCUAACACUUCAGAGAGCUUCUGAGUAUCCUGACAGGAGAGCUGCAGCAAAAACUCAGACUUCAGUCUCUUGAUACUGAACAGACCGUUCUAGCUGAUGAGGCCAGGCUUAGAAGAUGGACUGCAGCCAAGAAGCCUGGCCACCAUAAAGACAAGUCACAUCUUUAGGAAAUACUUGAAAAACACUUAUGCACAUGAAAAAAGUACAAGGAUUAAAGUCUCAUCAGGCAUUCCAGCAUAGAGAGUCUGACAGAUGCAGGUCAGAAGUUACCUCCAAAUAAUAGAAGAGGAAGAAGAUCCCACUCCACAGAAGCCUGUUGCUGAUGCUGUUGCAACCAGGACUAUGAUUGUGAAACUUGUUUCUCUGUGGAUACCUGUUUCAGGAAUCUUGUACCCAGGUAUCCACAGUCCUCCUCACAUAUCUCAUUUUGUACAACUUUGUAUGUCCUGAAAUUGUGUCCUGUGCUGAUGAUAUCCCACUUGACACAUAGAAAGAGUUUUACCCAUUUAAGGAGCUGGAAGUAGGCUGGACCCACUGUUGACAUUAAAGUGGAUUUCUCUA
Mastomys coucha (southern multimammate mouse) is the source of this 2713-nucleotide long non-coding RNA. RefSeq lists it as uncharacterized. Lineage: Eukaryota; Metazoa; Chordata; Mammalia; Rodentia; Muridae. The transcript has 4 exons. The record is from RefSeq and is a predicted model, not a curated record.